RNAcentral lists this ribosomal RNA (440 nucleotides) under uncultured bacterium. Its description in RNAcentral is "bacterial SSU rRNA". It matches the Rfam family "Bacterial small subunit ribosomal RNA", at positions 338 to 795 of the family's 1533-position model. The record is from RNAcentral.
CCUACGGGAGGCACCAGUGGGGAAUCUUAGACAAUGGGGGCAACCCUGAUCUAGCCAUGCCGCGUGAGUGAUGAAGGCCUUAGGGUUGUAAAGCUCCUUCAGCUGGGAAGAUAAUGACGGUACCAGCAGAAGAAGCCCCGGCUAACUCCGUGCCAGCAGCCGCGGUAAUACGGAGGGGGCUAGCGUUGUUCGGAAUUACUGGGCGUAAAGCGCGCGUAGGCGGAUAGAUAAGUCAGAGGUGAAAUCCCGGGGCUCAACCCCGGAAUUGCCUUUGAUACUGUUUAUCUUGAGUGCAGAAGAGGUAAGUGGAAUUCCGAGUGUAGAGGUGAAAUUCGUAGAUAUUCGGAGGAACACCAGUGGCGAAGGCGGCUUACUGGUCUGCAACUGACGCUGAGGCGCGAAAGCGUGGGGAGCAAACAGGAUUAGAUACCCCCGUAGUC